RNAcentral lists this long non-coding RNA (1745 nucleotides) under Chrysemys picta bellii (western painted turtle). Its description in RNAcentral is "lncRNA (ENSCPBG00000027942.1)". The record is from RNAcentral. Lineage: Eukaryota; Metazoa; Chordata; Testudines; Emydidae.
AGGAGCCUCAUCCCCACUUCACUUGUCAGUCCUUUUUGUUUUGGUGCAGCAGCAGGUUCUGCAAGCGAGCGCCCUCUGGUUUCCUUGCGCAACCCGCGGUGCCGGGGAGGAAAUUGGGGUGGGUGGGGACGGAAAGGUCACCUGGCGCUGGUGCUUUAGUACUAGGGGCUGUAGCCACAGCCUGUCCCCAGCAGCAGCAGUAGCAGCGUCGGAGUGAGCGCGUACACGUGACUCCGGCUUUGGCUCCUCAGUGCCUCUACAAACAGACGCGCACACACACAUCCCCUCUCUUCUCCAUCCAGUCUCUCCCCCCUCCCUCUCACACACACGCCGUGCGAGCCGCCGCCAGGGCAAAGCUCUAGGCACACGCCGGGGUGGCAGCGCCAGAAGCAGCAGCGAUUCAGCCAAGAAACAAGAGUUUGCAAAGGCUGCUGUGCCUGGCCGAAGAGGCUUUGCACUCGGAGGAUGGCUGGCUGCGGGCUGUCAGAAGAUGCCUUCUUCUCUUCCUUCUUCUACAACUAUACCUCCUCCUGGGAAAACUCCUACAACCAGGCAUUUCUGGCUGUAUUCUACUAGAACACCUACAGUCUGGCUGUGGCAGAGAGCAUGCUGCCGGAGAACUGACGAGACGAUGGAUAAAUGGUGUGAAAUCUCCUUUCCUCAGGUUUUUCUUUUCCUUCUCCCAGGAUUCAGGUCCCUGGUCAACCACUUUUCAGACUUGGGCCCAGAUGCAGACAGCUACUAAUGAAUGUGGCUAACUUGAAACAUGUGAGUAGUCCCAUUGCUUAAAAUUAGGCAUUGUCAUGUUGAACUGAGGCCUUAAAAGAUGAGAACAAUGCAGAAGUGGGUCAUCAGCAAGAAGACUAACCUACACUAAUGGAGUCCUUAGAGAAAAAUGUAUUUGCUGUACGAUCUAGUCAUGCAAAUGGCAGCUGAACAUGACUGAGUGCUAAGAUGUGCCCUGGAAUUUCAGCUUUACACACUUCUUUCUCUUGCUAUAGCUUACUUGGAUAAGUUGUGAAGAGAAACAAAAAGCCACCUACAUUUUGAACUCAUCAGUGUUUCAGAGCUAAGACCUCUAUUACAGGCAUCCAUGGUUCUGAGAUUUGUAUAACAUCUUGGGAUAAAAUGCCUAGAAAAAGUAAUCAUUUUAUCAAUGGUUUAAUCAUUAAAGAGCUGCAAGUUAGGAGGUGAGUAAAUCAGACCAAUAGCGAACACAUUCCUUCUUUCCAGCUGGUUCUGCUUAUUUUGAGUACCCUUGUCGUGAUCUGCCUCUUUCUAGUUGUCAAGCCAAAGCCACAGUAUUUGCUGUGCGUGUACGUUAGAUUUCAGCUACCACACUUUAGGUUUGUAAUUAAGAAAUUAAUUAAAAUAGUAUACAGUUUACUGCACAGUCUCUCAAGAGCAGGCCAGUUUACAAGAUUUUUACACAUUGUGUGCUAUAAAUUGUAUGCUACAGAGGUACAGAAUCAUAUUCACACUGACAUUAAAAGUUCUCCUCCUCCCUCAGAGGAGUAUCACUAAAAAUUAUUGAGAGGGACCAGUUAUGAGGUAAUUGUCUUAGCAGAAAGCCAGGUGAACAAGACUUAGAAUUUUAAAACUCGAAGACUGACAUGGAAUCUGAUAUAAGCAUAGUAAAGAGUAAAGGAGAAGGGAAAAGAAUUUUAAAUUUGUGUAAUGAAUUAAUGUUCUAAAUUGAGUUCAAGUUACCAAGGUUACUAAGUAUCUUUAUCACUGAUCCAAAG